RNAcentral lists this unclassified non-coding RNA (309 nucleotides) under plant metagenome. RNAcentral's name for it is "partial contains 5.8S ribosomal RNA, internal transcribed spacer 2, and large subunit ribosomal RNA". The stretch from base 1 to 105 matches the Rfam family "5.8S ribosomal RNA", at positions 50 to 154 of the family's 154-position model. The record is from RNAcentral.
GAAAUGCGAUAAGUUGUGUGAAUUGCAGAAUUCAGUGAAUAAUCGAAUCUUUGAACGCACAUUGCGCCCCUUGGUAUUCCAUGAGGCAUGCCUGUUCGAGCGUCAUUUGUACCCUCAAGCUCUGCUUGGUGUUGGGUGUUUGUCCCGUCUCCGCGCGUGGACUCGCCCCAAAGUGAUUGGCAGCCGGCGUACUGGUCCCGGAGCGCAGCACAUGUCGCGCAAACGAGUGCCUUGGUACGGCGGCGUCCAUAAGCCCCUCUCUCACGCUCUUGACCUCGGAUCAGUUAGGGAUACCCACUGAACUUAAGC